GAAUUUUUAUCCGUUUAACCGUAUUGUCUCGUAACCAUCGAAAGAUAUUAAUUAUUUAAAAAAAAAAAAAAAAAAAAAGAAAAAAAAAAGAAAAAAAAAACUAGAAGAUUUUACGACGUAUAAAUAUUUAAUCGUAUCGAAAUAAAAAAGUUAGAAAAUAAAUCGAAUUUAAAUCGUAAAAAAUUGGAUUACGUUAAACCAUAUCGUUCCCUUUUCUCGUGUGUUUCAUUUAUCAUUAUCUUUCAUUACAAAGAAAUUUUUAUUCUUAUAGGAUACGUUAAAAGAUAUCAAAAGAAGAUAACAAAUUGCGUUAAAUAUUUCAAAUAAGUAUGGACUUGUUAGAUUACAUUGAUUUAAACGAAGUCGAUUAUGAUGAUAUCGUUGAACGAAUAUGUUUGUACGAAUACGUUGAAAUUAUGGAUCAAUGAGGAAAAAAAAAAAAAAAAAAAAAAAAAAAAAAAAUGAUAAGUUCGAUAUCUAACAAGUCAACGUACAUUACCUUGUUCGAUUCGAUUUCUAACAGCCUUUAUUCUUCUUUUCCUGUCAGUUUCCUUCUCAAAUUCCCAACAUUUUACGACAUUUUCGUAAUACCUUCUCUCUCUAGACUCUGCCUCUUUCAACUUGUCGAAAAUGGACUCUCGUUCCUUCACGAUUUUACACUCUCCACGAUCGCGUAAUCUGUGACCGUAGCUAAUGUUGGCGGUCCCGAUAAUGUCUUGUGGAUACUUUUGACGUCUAGGUGGACCACAUUCGACCUUUAGCAAUGGUAGGACACUCAUUUUUGGGGAUUUCAAGGGGACCGAACAAAUAUCGGUCUGGCAAUAACCACGAAAAGCCGACUACACCAACGAAACCCUCUCCCUCUCUCUCUCUCUCUCUCUCUCUCUCUCUCUCUCUCUCUCUCUCUUUCUAUCUAUCUAUCUCUCUCUUUCUCUUUUUCCUUCUUCCUACUUGUUUCCUUCCUUUCCGUUAUCGAGGUUGCCAUAGAGAUUUACGCUUGUUGUUUCGAUGUCUCGUCGAUUACAUACGUCGUUCAACGAGUUUCUGUCUUGAAUUACACACUCUCUUGAUUGGUAUUCCCUAUCCCCCUCUAUUGAGCCUUUUUUCUAACUAACCGUGUUAAAUUACAAUUUUUUUUAUCCGACAUUUUUUUUAUCAAGCUUCUUCAAUCGACUGACGUUCGUAACUGAAAUAUCAUGAUUACGUUUCAAGGAUGUAAUAUCGUACAUGAAAGAAGGGAGAAAAAGAAGAAUGAAAAAAAAAAACCGGUUGGUUCUAACAAAAAAAAAAAAAAAAAUAAAAAAUAAAAAAGAAAAAACAAGGGAUAAAAAAUAAAAAAUAGAAAGAAAAAAUAGGAAAAAAAAGAAAAAACAAAAAAAAUAACAAGAUAGAUCUGUUGCAUAGUAUAAAAUAUUAAACAAAAAUAUUAUCGUUUGUCAAAUGGACCAAAAGAUGGCGUGAUAUAUUAUCAAGUUCCCAAAAGCGAGAGACCAUUGCGAUAGUAAUAACAAGAUAGAUAGGAGGUUUAUAUUUUCAUACUAACCUGGCGCAGGGGAUACCAUGAUCAACGAGGUGGUUCCCCCAGGACUGAGGCUAAACGCUGAAGCCUGUAAGUACUCCUAAUGCGAGUAUUUGUGCGUUCAAUUUUUGAUAGUGUGGGGUAUUUGCGGUUAACGCAGACCCCAUACAAAAUAACUUUUGACAAAGGUACAAAAAUGAUUUGAUUCAUGGUGAAUAUUAGUCCGAGAGAGAAAAACAGUUCGAUUAAACGAUUGUGAUGGGUGCGCUUGAUCACGACCAGGCACAAUAACACUUUGCGACGUCACUUUUUAAUCUUUCUCAUCUUUCUUGUCAUCGAGACACCAUUGAAAGCAGCAAGCAGUAGUAGUAGCAGCAGCAGCAGCACCACCACCAGCAGCAGUAGUAGUAGUUAAAAGAUUCUCUCACAUCCUGGCUCGAACGAUCUUGUUUUGUGUGUCAGUUUGAGCAGACUAUAAAGGCGCGACUACGGAUACCGACUAUUUCCGAUAGAUCCAUCGAGGAUUUUCAUCUUCAGAUCUAACACACGAAAAAAGAAUCCUCUUGUGAAGACAUUGACAUCAUCAUCUCAGAACGGCGGAGCUUCUUAACUUGCCUGGCCAAGUGUUUCUCAGACAACAGCAAGAUGAUAGAUUCUAGAGGGUGAUGAUGGAACGAGGAAAGACUGAACGGCAGCCGAACGAACAAUCAAGAAUUUCACAAUGGUCACCCAAAUUCAAGAAAGAGCAUAGAAACGGUACGUGAAAGGAACCUCUCCCGAACAAAGUCACGUAACGAAGAAUUCUCACCUGCGAAGAAGACUCUUGGUUGAGGCGACGGUGUGCCCGGGGGAUAAUUGGGAGGCGCUGGUGGUGCUACCGGUGCCGCAAGGAGAUCGUAAUCACUUCCGGAGCUGCCGACUGCAACGAAACUGUAGGAGCCACGGGCCCAAGGAUCUGCACGCCAUCUUGUAACGACACUCUCUCGGGGCUGUGGGACUACUUGAUUGCCAAAGAUCGUCUGUGGGAAUACAAGCGACAAAGAGAGAGAGAGAGAGAGAGAGAGAGAGAACUCUUGUAAAAGUUCACCCACCUUGAGGACCGAGAUACAGCGACCAAUGAUAACGUCGUCGCUGACAUUCUCCAUUACGCAGGCUGCCUCUCCAGCGACGAGGGCCAACAGGACCGGCGCUUUGUACAGGUUCCAGAACAGGAAGAGUUCUCCUCUCGAGGCGGUUGUACUACCCACGUGCCCGAACAAGUUCGCCGUUGGAUCCCAAAAGAUUCGUUCGAAGCAUAAUACUACCUGAAAUGUUUGCAUUCGUUUUUUUGAGAAUUAUUGUAAAUGAGUACGUGCUAUUUGCGCUCGUCUAAGUUCUUAAUAAUAAUACAACAUAAAAAGAUGGUAGGAGAAAAUGAAAGAAUAAAGAGAUGUGAAAAACGGAAAAAAAAAGAAAAACAAAAAAAAAAGAAGAAACAAAUAAAAUGAAAGAAUAUAGAAAAUAUAAAGUUAAGAAGAUUUUCCAAGAGAGGCAUAUCCUUUUUCUGACUGUUUUAAAAUAUAUUUUCAAACGAAUUUGUCGUCUCAUAAAUACGUUAGUACUCUUUAGAAUUGACUUAGCCUAUAAGAUCUUACCUUAUUUAAAUUGCCAAAGCCAAGCCUCUGGAUGGCUUGAGACUUCCAAUCCGGAAGCGGAGGGUUGAAAGCAACCGCGGAGGGUGGAGCGGAAGCCUUAAGAACACCGAGUGGCAGCGUAACCAAAACAGCGUCGGCUUUAUAGACGGUAUGAUUUGUGUGGAGGCUGCGAGAGGGUGCGGCCCAUACUUCUACGCCAUUUACUCCGUACCGAACGGCCCUUGCAGCUGUGUUCAAUCGAAUAUCGAGUCCUUCUGAGAGAGCAACAGGUACGCAGGAAUAUCCGUUGCGAACUGGAAGAAUAAGAAGAAGAAAAAGGACGAAUAAUAAGAAAGAAAGAAAAAGAAAAAAAAAGAAAGAAAGAAAAAAAGAAGAAGAAGAAAGAAGAGAGAAAAAGGAAAAAGAAGAAAAAAAAAACAAAAAGAAAAGAACGUUGAAUAUAAACGUAUCAGAGAAAAUAAUAGAGUUAGCAUCGGUAUAGCUAAUAUUCAAAGUUAAUCGGUCGAUAAAUAUAUGGAAAUCAGAAUCGAUGUUUAGGCUUGAAUUGGCCAUUGAGAUAUACGUGUUUCGAUAAAAAUUCUUAUGCAUUUAUGUACGGGGUUUUUUUUUUUUUUUUUUUUUUUUUUGAAAGGGCGAGGUGAAAGAAAGAGGGGAAAAAAGAUAGAGCAAAAAAAGAAAAAGAAAAAAGAAUAAAAAAAAAGAAAGAAAGAAAAAAAGAAAAUUCCUUUCUCUCGAUUAUACUUUCAAAAUAUUGAAUUCCGUGUGAUGAAAUUUACAAUAUCAAAACGUGUUAACAAAAUACACUGGUGUAUCGUGCGAUAUGGUUUUUAUAAACGGAGAAGGGAAUAAGUGGAGGAGGGGAGAAAAAAAGCAAAAAAAAAAAAAAAGGGAAGAAAAAAAGAUGAUAAAACGAACGAUACUUAUGACUCGAUCUAUGCCACGUGUCAACCCACGUGUUAGUCACGCUUAAUUAUUCUAGAGACAUCAAGGUGAGACGACACGCGAAAUUUUGAACGUAACGCGAAGAGGAGAUCCCCGAAUUUCGGGCGAGGAAACGAGACAGCAGACGAGCUCCCUUUAAAAGCACAACUUGUGCAAGAGCAAGAGAGAGAGAGAGAGAGAGAGAGAGAGAAACAUAGGGAGAGAUAGUGAGUCUCGAGAAUGAGCGAGAGACAUAAAUUUGGGGCGGUCGCCCGGCGCCAUGUAGAACGAAGCACAGCAAGUCGUUCUGGAACUGCUACGCUGAUGUUGGACGCAUCAUCGUCAUUAUCGCUUAAACGGAUAUUUCGCCGGUUGGCACGCUUAAAUCAGAAUAUAUAUUCCUCGCUCGCACGAAUGGCUUUUGAAAGUGUGAGGAGGAUACUCGACGAUGUGCCACGGUGAAGAUGGCGAUGCAGUCCUAAUAAUGAUACACGGACGUCUCCACUUAGGCCGUUUAAUUAUGUUGAUGGCUGAGCAGCACAGUUCCCGUGCUAACAGCCACCGUUCUCUCUUACUCUCUCUCUCUCUCUCUCUUUCUUUCUCUCUCUCUCUCUCUCUCUCUCCCUCUCUAUCUCAUCUACCAUUGCUACCAGUGCUCCCGUUUCGGCAGCCGCUACCAACACAAUCUCCAUCUCUCCAUUCCAGAAAUAUAAAUUUACACUCGGGCGUGAUAUAAAUUAGCGUGUUUCGAGUUCGAGCUGAAACGCAUUAUCAAAAUGUUCCAACGAACCGGAAAGCACUCGUGCGAGAGGAGAAAUGACUGCAUGGAGAAUACAAAGAUGGACGCAAAAUAUUUCUCCCUCGUAGUUUCAAUUUAUCAUAUUCUCUUUCCCCUUUCUUCCUCUCUCUCUUUCUCUCUCUCUCUCUCUCUCUCUCUCUCUCUCUCUCUCUCUCUCUCUCUCUCGCUCGCUCGCUCGCUCGUUCUUUUUUAUUUCAUCUCCAUUAUAGUUCCUACCGGGUAUCGUCGAAUAAUUUCAAAGCGAAACGAUAUGAAUUUGUUAUUAUUUCAACUACGGCUCAUCCUCUUACUCUUUUCCCCUUUCACCGUCGUUACCGUUACUUUGAUUCGGCUAAAUUUUGGUUUGUUACGUCGUCGAUUAUCGCAAACCCCCUUUUGUAAUAAGCGAGAGAAUAUUCAACAGUCGAGCGAGAGAAUAAUCCGAAACCACCAGAAUUAUGGUAAGCCCGGGGUACUUUUCCUCCUCUACCUACAUCUCUUCCUCCUCUUACUCCUCAUCCUCCUUCUCAUCUUCCUUCUCCUCCUCCUCCUCCCUACGGAUAACUACGGGAAUGGGGAAUUAAGCCCUUGGCAAUGAGGCGGCUCUGAGUCGACCGAAAUCGUUGAUAGAGAAGAGCCUGCACCAUUCUCUUUCUCUGUCUGUUAUCCAUUUACUGUCAAAUCGUUGAUUGCCAAGCUCUUGAAAUAAAAUGACAAUUAAAAGAAUUCCCAUUGUCGUUCUUAUUAUCCAAUUAGUUUCGAUUAGGCAACGUAAAUACAAAAAAAAGAAAAAAAAAAUAGAGAGAUAGGGAAAAAGGAUGAAAAAAAAAAAAACAACAACAACAACAAAAGAAAAAAGAGAAAAAGAUGUCGAAGAGAGGAAGGAAAAUAGGAAAGAAAUUUCCUCGAUGCUUAGUUUAUAUACUUUGAAAAUAAUACCGUAUCGUAUCGACAAAAGUAAUAAAAGAAAAAAAAAAAAAAAAAAAAAGGAAGGGGGUUGGUAGUCAAUCUAAUAGGAUGAUACAAGGAGAAGAGAGUCAGCGGAAAGAGGAAACAAAUAUUUGAAAAGCUUACUGGGUGACAUGAAACUGCUUGCCGUUUGACAAGGAGAGGAGAGAGAAGACGAGAGGAGGGAGAAAAAUGUGAAAGAAAAAGAUAGGGAUGAAAAAAAAGAAAGGAAGAAAGAAAGCAAGGAAGGAAGAAAGGAAGGAAGGAAGGAGAAAGGAUAAGAGGACGAAUCGCACUGGACUCGAAGACGAAAAGUUAAAAGGGAAGAAGCAUGUGAGAGAGAGAGAGAGAGAGAGAGAGAGAGAGAGAGAGAGAGAGAGGAGGAGAGAGACAGAUGAUCUCUUUUUACGGAGACACUUUAGCUGUGUUCUAUCUUGUGCAUCGCACCAUGAAAAAGUAAUACCACACACAUAUACACAUACACGCACACACGCACACACACACACACACACAUAUAUAUAUAUAUUUAUAUAUAUUUAUAUACAUAUGUAUCCAUAAGGAAAAACGUACGUAAUACGCGAGUGAAUCAACGACAGUGGCAACCACCGACAACGGUAGUGGUAGAGUACCACCCUCUCACGACCGCCACCGCCUCUUCCUUGUCUUUCGUUUGAUCUCCACUCGCAGUAUUUUUUGACGGUCGAGUCGAACAAUUUGUAUGCCGCGGUGGUUUUCAAUUUACAUUUAAAUUGGUUGCUUAUGGCGUUCUGUCGUCUCGACGGGAGUCGGUGAGGGUGAGAGUGAGGGUGAAGAGGGAAAGAGAGAGGGAGAGAGAGAGAAAGAGAGGGAGUUAGCCG
Long non-coding RNA from Vespa velutina, 6657 nucleotides. RefSeq lists it as uncharacterized. The transcript is spliced from 4 exons. Lineage: Eukaryota; Metazoa; Arthropoda; Insecta; Hymenoptera; Vespidae. The record is from RefSeq and is a predicted model, not a curated record.